This 45-nucleotide non-coding RNA is filed under the name Schistosoma margrebowiei. The record is from RNAcentral. Lineage: Eukaryota; Metazoa; Platyhelminthes; Trematoda; Strigeidida; Schistosomatidae.
AUCCAGCUGAUGAGUUCCAAAUAGGACGAAUCGCACAUCUUGGAU